GCCCGAUGAACCUGAAUAUCCAUUAUGGAAAAUUCAUCAUUAGAGUUAUAAUAUUAAAAUAAUAUUAUACAAAUAGUGUGCAUUUUUUCCAUAUAAGGACAUUGUAAUCUAUUAACAUANAAAAUUUAUCAUAAAAUAUGGCUUAUAGUUUAUUCCAAUUAAAUUGCUUGCAUUUUAACACAGAAUAAAUGUCAUUAAUUUGAUAAAGUGUUGAUAGAUUAAUAAGAAUACAGUGCGUUAAUUUUUCGGAAUUAUAUAAUGGCAUAAUUAUCAUUGAUUUUUAUGUUUAUUAUAUGCACUUGUAUGAUUAACAAUGCGAAAGAUUCAGGAUACUUCGGG
RNAcentral lists this ribosomal RNA (339 nucleotides) under Drosophila varians. RNAcentral describes it as "eukaryotic LSU rRNA". Lineage: Eukaryota; Metazoa; Arthropoda; Insecta; Diptera; Drosophilidae. The record is from RNAcentral.